This 497-nucleotide ribosomal RNA is filed under the name uncultured bacterium. Its description in RNAcentral is "partial 16S ribosomal RNA". It matches the Rfam family "Bacterial small subunit ribosomal RNA", at positions 28 to 507 of the family's 1533-position model. The record is from RNAcentral.
GAUGAACGCUGGCGGCGUGCCUAAUACAUGCAAGUCGAACGCUGAAGCUUGGUGCUUGCACCGAGCGGAUGAGUUGCGAACGGGUGAGUAACGCGUAGGUAACCUGCCUGGUAGCGGGGGAUAACUAUUGGAAACGAUAGCUAAUACCGCAUAACAGUAGAUAUUGCAUGAUAUCUGCUUGAAAGGUGCAAAUGCAUCACUACCAGAUGGACCUUCGUUGUAUUAGCUAGUUGGUGAGGUAACGGCUCACCAAGGCGACGAUACAUAGCCGACCUGAGAGGGUGAUCGGCCACACUGGGACUGAGACACGGCCCAGACUCCUACGGGAGGCAGCAGUAGGGAAUCUUCGGCAAUGGGGGGAACCCUGACCGAGCAACGCCGCGUGAGUGAAGAAGGUUUUCGGAUCGUAAAGCUCGGUUGUAAGAGAAGAACGAGUGUGAGAGUGGAAAGUUCACACUGUGACGGUAUCUUACCAGAAAGGGACGGCUAACUACGUG